GAGAAAUACAUAGAGAGAAAGAGAGAAAGGACAAGCCAAGUAGCAAAAAGAGGCAUUUUCUGUUGUUAAGUUGUCUUGCAAUUGCUUGGUUUUUCCCUUUCUUUUCUUUCA
This 111-nucleotide non-coding RNA is filed under the name Chloropicon mariensis. Lineage: Eukaryota; Viridiplantae; Chlorophyta; Chloropicophyceae; Chloropicales; Chloropicaceae. The record is from RNAcentral.